GAUGAAGAACGUAGCGAAAUGCGAUAAGUAAUGCGAAUUGCAGAAUUUCCGUGAGUCAUCGAAUCUUUGAACGCACAUUGCGCCCACUGGUAUUCCGGUGGGCAUGCCUGUUCGAGCGUCAUUAUCCUCCCUCAAACCCCGGGUUUGGUGUUGGACCCAAGUUGUGUGAACAACUGGUCUCAAAGACAAUGACGGCGUCCGUGGGAUCCUCGGUGCAACGAGCUUUUAGGAGCACGCAUCGAGUUGCAAGGACCUUCCGGGCCGGUCUCCUUUACCAUUUUACAAGGUUGACCUCGGAUCAGGUAGGAAUACCCGCUGAACUUAAGCAUAUCAAUAAGCGGAGGA
RNAcentral lists this unclassified non-coding RNA (345 nucleotides) under soil metagenome. Its description in RNAcentral is "partial contains 5.8S ribosomal RNA, internal transcribed spacer 2, and large subunit ribosomal RNA". The stretch from base 1 to 121 matches the Rfam family "5.8S ribosomal RNA", at positions 35 to 154 of the family's 154-position model. The record is from RNAcentral.